GAGGAUCUACUAGUCAUAUGGAUUAUAUCAAUAAGCGGAGGGAAAAGAAAAUAACAAUGAUUCCCCUAGUAACUGCGAGUGAAGAGGGACAAGCUCAAAUUUUAAAUCCGUCGGGUUACACCUGACCGAGUUGUAAUUUGAAGAGGCGUUUUCCGCGUUUUUGAUCAGUCCAAGUCCUUUGGGAUAGGGCAUCAUGGAGGGUGAGAAUCCCGUUCGGCUGAUCAGAUUCGCUUUACGAUACGUCAUCUAAGAGUCAAGUUGUUUGGGAAUGCAGCUUAAAAUGGGAGGUAAAUUUCUCCUAAGGCUAAAUAACGGCGAGAGACCGAUAGCGAACAAGUACCGUGAGGGAAAGAUGAAAAGAACUUUGAAAAGAGAGUUAAACAGUACGUGAAAUUGUUGAAAGGGAAACGAUUGAAGCCAGUCGUACCGGUGGGUAAUCAGCCUUUCGGCGUGAUUAUGUGGAGCGUGAGGAGUUAAACGCCCUCAUGGCCUGAAUAUUCGUGUUCUUUGGGUGUACUUACCCGCAUGGUAGGUUAACAUCAAUUUCGAACGUCAUAAAAUGGUUGGAGGAAUGUAGCUUCGAUCUCGUAUUGAAGUGUUAUAGACUCCGGCAGAUGUGAUGAUCGGGAUUGAGGAUUGCAACGGAUACCCUUCGGGGCUACCCGUCUGAUCUCUGAAAGUUGCUCUGGUGCCGAAAGCUCGCUUACGGUCAUCAAAGUUGACGUUCAACAGGUUAGGACGGGAUAAAUUCGUUAAGGAUGUUGACGUAAUGGCUUUAAACGAC
Molecule: ribosomal RNA, 784 nt
Filed under: uncultured Glomus
Lineage: Eukaryota; Fungi; Glomeromycota; Glomeromycetes; Glomerales; Glomeraceae
Description: eukaryotic LSU rRNA
Rfam family: Eukaryotic large subunit ribosomal RNA
Source: RNAcentral